AAAGAUUUUUAACUUUCCUAAUAGUAAAAUUACAAUUAUUACUAAACAGUAAGUUGAAGUAAGUUUUAAAUUAAGAGAAUGCAACUAACACCGAAAGAAAAAUGAAAGUUACUGAAAAUAAAAAACUUUAUUGCAGUACCUACAUACACUUUCUACAUCUAAUUUUGUUUAUUGAUCACAUUCAUUUACUUGAAAAAGUAUCAGGCCUAUGAAUCGUCGUCUGGAAACAGCUAACCACACACCAACCUUCAUUGCGUGUGAUGGUGUUUCUUCAAAAGCCCUAACAGAUGAAACCAGGCUUCAUCAGAAAAGAACGACAAAUCGAGAAUCCCGUUAUCGUCCAUAUCAGCUUGAAACCAACUACAAUACCCAACGCGGCAAGGAAAAUCAGCUGGUUGCAGCUCCUGAACCAACAAAAUCUUGUAUGGAUGCAUAUGUAACUUCUCUUUUACGAUUUUCUGACAUGGGCUGUAUGGUACUCCGGACAGUAAAGAUUUUUGACAAA
Long non-coding RNA from Zophobas morio, 505 nucleotides. RefSeq lists it as uncharacterized. The transcript has 2 exons. Lineage: Eukaryota; Metazoa; Arthropoda; Insecta; Coleoptera; Tenebrionidae. The record is from RefSeq and is a predicted model, not a curated record.